GAAGCMUAAGUGGGUGUUGGAUUUCACUGUCAUGACACAGUACAACAAACUCCUCUUGGCAACAGCUGAUCGGGAAAUCCAGUUGUAUGAACUUUGCAACUUUGAGCCAUACUGCCAGAUCAGUGCCUUGGAAGCUGUCCCUUUGAGACUGGACUACUGUUCCACUGCUCACGAUGAGUGUUUGCUUCUCUAYGGAGACGAUCAGGU
Molecule: long non-coding RNA, 207 nt
Organism: Nothoprocta perdicaria
Lineage: Eukaryota; Metazoa; Chordata; Aves; Tinamiformes; Tinamidae
Exons: 3
Source: RefSeq, a predicted model, not a curated record